RNAcentral lists this ribosomal RNA (423 nucleotides) under uncultured bacterium. RNAcentral describes it as "partial 16S ribosomal RNA". It matches the Rfam family "Bacterial small subunit ribosomal RNA", at positions 359 to 774 of the family's 1533-position model. The record is from RNAcentral.
GAAUUUUGGACAAUGGGCGAAAGCCUGAUCCAGCAAUGCCGCGUGCAGGAUGAAAGCCUUCGGGUUGUAAACUGCUUUUGUACGGAACGAAAAGAUUUGGGUUAAUACCCUGGAGUCCUGACGGUACCGUAUCAAUCAGCACCGGCUAACUACGUGCCAGCAGACGCGGUAAUACGUAGGGGGCAAGCGUUAAGCGGACUUACGGGGCGUAAAGCGUGCGCAGGCGGUUUUGUAAGACAGAGGUGAAAUCCCCGGGCUCAACCUGGGAACUGCCUUUGUGACUGCAAGGCUAGAGUACGGCAGAGGGGGGUGGAAUUCCGCGUGUAGCAGUGAAAUGCGUAGAUAUGCGGAGGAACACCGAUGGCGAAGGCAACCCCCUGGGCCUGUACUGACGCUCAUGCACGAAAGCGUGGGGAGCAAACA